This is a long non-coding RNA of Stegostoma tigrinum, 227 nucleotides long. RefSeq lists it as uncharacterized. The record is from RefSeq and is a predicted model, not a curated record. Lineage: Eukaryota; Metazoa; Chordata; Chondrichthyes; Orectolobiformes; Stegostomatidae. The transcript is spliced from 3 exons.
CAGCUUUAUAUUAAAGAAGAGUGCCAACUCCACUGUGAAGACAACAGUAUGAAAUCCCUCAGCCUGAACAAUCUGGUGUGCUUAAUCCUCCUUCACAAUAUUGGGCAGAUAUGGACAUUUGAGAACUGUGGAGAGGAUUUCCAGGAUGAAGUCCAUGAGAUGACCAGACAAUGAAACGUGCUGGAGUUUAUCAGACAGACACUGGACAAACUCGGAGCUCUCUCUGC